AGAUUGAACGCUGGCGGCAGGCCUAACACAUGCAAGUCGAGCGGCAGCACGGGUACUUGUACCUGGUGGCGAGCGGCGGACGGGUGAGUAAUGCCUAGGAAUCUGCCUGGUAGUGGGGGAUAACGCUCGGAAACGGACGCUAAUACCGCAUACGUCCUACGGGAGAAAGCAGGGGACCUUCGGGCCUUGCGCUAUCAGAUGAGCCUAGGUCGGAUUAGCUAGUUGGUGAAGGUAAUGGCUCACCAAGGCGACGAUCCGUAACUGGUCUGAGAGAUGAUCAGUCACACUAGGAACUGACGACACCGGUCCACGACUCCGUACGGGAGGCAGCAGGUAGGGGAAUAGUUAGGAACAAGUGGGACGUAAACGCCU
RNAcentral lists this ribosomal RNA (372 nucleotides) under uncultured soil bacterium. RNAcentral's name for it is "bacterial SSU rRNA". It matches the Rfam family "Bacterial small subunit ribosomal RNA", at positions 26 to 394 of the family's 1533-position model. The record is from RNAcentral.